Long non-coding RNA from Acipenser ruthenus (sterlet), 517 nucleotides. RefSeq lists it as uncharacterized. The transcript has 3 exons. The record is from RefSeq and is a predicted model, not a curated record. Lineage: Eukaryota; Metazoa; Chordata; Actinopteri; Acipenseriformes; Acipenseridae.
UCCAGCACCGAAGGCAUCAGCUGCAAUCAUCAGAACGUGAUCAUCACUGAAACUAGUCUCCUCCAGGCCUCGGCUCUCCAUGGGGCCACGCUGGGCUGUGAGCAGGGCGUCCAUCAGGUCCCGUGUCUCAGACAUACAUUCAAUCCAGGAUACCUUAAGCCACGGGAAAAUGUCCACUAGGCUUCCUCUGGCGAUGGUUUCCACAAUGCCGCUGGUGUAGUCCAUCACGCUCUGGAGCUCGCUGUCCCCCGGCUGGUAUUUGGAGUUGAAGACGAGGGCGCACACCACGUUGGUGACGGCUUGGGACAGGCCUAGUCCCGGGUCCAGCGGGGUUUCAAGAUUAUCCAUCAAAAAGGAGCACAGGCUGGAGGCUUCCUGACAAACUAGAUGGUUGACGAACAGACGGACGGAAGUACAGAUAGAGAAGCACCACCGUAUAUCCUCCCAUUCUGAUACAAGUGAUUUGUUGAAAAGAAUGCACCAGAACUCUCACCGAUGGUCUCAAGUUUGCUGGUGC